This is a non-coding RNA of Oreochromis niloticus (Nile tilapia), 94 nucleotides long. The record is from Rfam. NCBI's taxonomy places the organism in Eukaryota, Metazoa, Chordata, Actinopteri, Cichliformes, Cichlidae.
GCUCCAGUGGCGCAAUCGGUUAGCGCGCGGUACUUAUAUGACAGUAUUGGGCUGAGCAAUGCCGAGGUUGUGAGUUCAAGCCUCACCUGGAGCA